This 93-nucleotide transfer RNA is filed under the name Trichosporon asahii var. asahii CBS 2479. RNAcentral's name for it is "tRNA-Thr". RNAcentral also lists the same sequence under 1 other name. The record is from RNAcentral. Lineage: Eukaryota; Fungi; Basidiomycota; Tremellomycetes; Trichosporonales; Trichosporonaceae.
GCCUUCUUAGUUCAGUGGCUAGAAUUUUCCACUAGUAGUUACUCAUCGAGUGUUGCUAUGGAACGGUCACCCGUUCAAUUCGGGUAGAAGGCA